GCCUACGGGACGCAGCAGUGGGGAAUAUUGCGCAAUGGGGGAAACCCUGAUGCAGCAACGCCGCGUGAGUGAAGAAGUCAUUCUUGAUGUAAAGCUCCAUCAGCAGGGAAGAAAAUGACGGUACCUGAGUAAGAAGCCCCGGUUAACUACGUGCCAGCAGCCGCGGUAAUACGUAGGGGGCAAGCGUUAUCCGGAUUUACUGGGUGUAAAGGGAGCGUAGACGGCCAGACAAGUCUGAAGUGAAAAUCCAGCGCUUAACGUUGGAAGUGCUUUGGUAACUGCUGGGC
RNAcentral lists this ribosomal RNA (287 nucleotides) under uncultured bacterium. RNAcentral's name for it is "partial 16S ribosomal RNA". It matches the Rfam family "Bacterial small subunit ribosomal RNA", at positions 337 to 641 of the family's 1533-position model. The record is from RNAcentral.